RNAcentral lists this unclassified non-coding RNA (332 nucleotides) under uncultured fungus. RNAcentral describes it as "sequence contains ITS1". The stretch from base 1 to 105 matches the Rfam family "5.8S ribosomal RNA", at positions 50 to 154 of the family's 154-position model. Lineage: Eukaryota; Fungi. The record is from RNAcentral.
AAAGUGCGAUAAGCAAUGCGAAUUGCAGAAUUCCGCGAAUCAUCAGAUCCUUGAACGCAACUGGCGCUGAAGGGCUCUCCCUCCAGCAUGUCUGUUUCAGUGUCUGAAAACUUCCAACAAGCUUAGUGUGGUUGACGAGAGGAGGGAGGCUUAAAAAACUCCCUUCUCAAGUCUCCCAUUAAAGAUGUACGUGUGGGUCUUUGAACCCCUCAUCGAAUUGGUCACUGCAGAGUGAUUUCGAUAGGGCAGCUCAAUUACCCGUACACACGUAGUUCUCUAAAAAACCCCAAUCUCUGCAUCUGAAAUCAGGCAAGAACACCCGCUGAACUUAA